RNAcentral lists this long non-coding RNA (1242 nucleotides) under Taeniopygia guttata (zebra finch). Its description in RNAcentral is "lncRNA (ENSTGUG00000023892.1)". The record is from RNAcentral. Lineage: Eukaryota; Metazoa; Chordata; Aves; Passeriformes; Estrildidae.
CCACUGCUAUCCCCAAUCCCCCAAAUGUCCCCAGUGUCCCCAAUGUCCCCAGUGUCCCCAAUCCCCCCCGUGUCCCCAGUGUCCCCAGUGUCCCCAAUCCCCCCCCAGUGUCCCCAGUGUCCCCAGUGUCCCCAGGGCCAGCUCAGCUCUACGGUGUUUAUUGGCGUCUCUAACACUCACUGAUGCAGAUAAAUAGUGGACAUUUGUCACCGCUGCCACCCCCCCGCGGGGACACCCCCGAGGGGACACCCCGGAGGGGACGGACGCCGUGGGGACAUCCCGGGGGGGGCGUGGGGACAUCCGUGGGGUCACCUCGGUGGGGACAGGGCCAUCCCCUUGGGGACAUCCCCUUGGGGACACCCUCAGGGCCACCCCUUGGGGACAUCCCCCAUCAGGGUCACCUCACUGGGGACAUCUCCAGGGCCACCCCCAGGGCCACCCCUUGGGGACAUCCCCUUGGGGACACCCUCAGGGUCACCCCUUGGGGACAUCCGUGGGGUCACCUCACUGGGGACAUCCUGGUGGGGACAGGGCCACCCCUUGGGGACAUCCCCUUGGGGACAUCCCCUUGGGGACACCCCCAGGGCCACCCCUUGGGGACACCCCCCACUGACGUCACCCCUCGGUGUCCCCCGGGUGGUGCCACCCCAUUUUUGGUGCCACCCCCGCCCGUCGAUGUCCCCAUCUCUGUCCCCUCCCCCCCCCGUGUCCCCUCCCCCCCUCCCCCCCCGUGGGGUUUUUGUCACUUUUCCCUUUUCCCGCUCCUUUUUUUUGCCUUUUCCGGUCGCUUUUCCCCCUAAAGUGCGCUCGGGAGGGGGGAGGGGACACCGGGGGGGGGGGAGGGGACACCGGGGGGGGGAGGGGACACCGGGAGGGGGGGGAGGGGACAUUGGUGGGGGGAGGGGACACCGGGUGGGGGAGGGGCGGGGGGGUCAGUCAGUAGCGAACGCGGCCGCGAAAGUGCAAAAGGGGGGAGGGGCCGCGGGGGGAGGGGAGGGGGAGGGGGAGGGGCCUUGCACGGGGCUUUGCACGAGGAGGGUCCUUGCACGAGGAUCGGCCUUGCACAUGGAAGAAUCUUGCACGAGGAUCCUUGCACACGCGCUUUGCACGAGGAUCCUUGCACGAGGAUCGUCCUUGCACGUGGAUCCUUGCACGAGGAGGGUCCUUGCACGUGGAUCCUUGCACAUGGAUCAUCCUUGCACGUGGAUCUUUGCACGUGGCAGAAUCUUGCACAUGGAUCCU